Molecule: long non-coding RNA, 4114 nt
Organism: Marmota monax (woodchuck)
Lineage: Eukaryota; Metazoa; Chordata; Mammalia; Rodentia; Sciuridae
Exons: 3
Source: RefSeq, a predicted model, not a curated record
AACUCCUGGUGGCUUUGCCCCUCCCUGCGUCACAGGUCCAGCUCUGGUGUCCUGCUGCUGCAGAUGCUCCUGCCCUCGCACUGUCAUUCAGCUGAGUGCCCUAGUCACCUCAUCCCACCCACCAUCAUUCUUUUGCCUUGAUGUGAGAAAGCGAUUUGCAUCCAACCAGAAGGAUUAAGUAAGCUCGAUGGAGGUAGCCUGCUUUCUCUUCUCACAAACCUCUUUUGUCUCGCAGAGGCUGCUGUGCAGAAGGCAGGUGGAGAGCUUUUGUUUCAAAGUGGCCCCUGCAAACUGAGGUUUCAAAUUUGUGAUUCUUCUGCCUCAGAUGGGGGAACGGCGGGGGAUGCUGCAGUCUAAGGACCAGACACACUUGAACCCUGCCCAGCUCCUCUGGGUGCCUGCUGAAAGUCAGAUGGAGAGUUUUCGGCGGACACAACAUCUUUGUUUGUAUGUGGUGCUGAGGAUCGAACCCGGGCUGCACGCAUGCCAGGCGAGCGCACUACCGCUUGAGCCACAUCCCCAGCCCCUGUGAGGACAAGAGGUCUCCCCCCCGCAAACAUCAGAUUCUUCCCAAUGGAAACCAACAAGUAAAUAUUGUGCCAUCCCAGUGACAAGUGGGACCCAGCUUGAAAGGAGGGGUCGGUGACUCCCUUUGGCGGUGAUCUCCCAGGGAGAAGCCUGAGAGGUGAGCUGGUGGCAAGUUGAGGGAAUCAAAGCUGCGGUGUAUACACAGAGGAAGUCUAAUUCAAAAGCCAUAUAAUGAGUGGACUUGGGAGGAAGCUCGUUGCCGUGGCAACCUGAUUUCCCUGCUGCCAAGAGCAGCUUUUCUUCUUUCUUCUGCACCUGGCAGGAGCUACCCCCACCCCACCCCACAUUACUUGAGGAAGAAAGACAGAGUUUGGCAUUCUUUUAUUGAGGUCAGGGCACCGUCUCUGUCAGUGGCCAACUGUCAUGGAGAGAGAAUGUGGUGGCCUGGAUGCCUUCGCCCAUCAGCUGGACAGAGGCACCUGGGUGUCUGGGCUGAAAUGCUGAUGUCAAGGAGACCUUUUGGUUCUCUCUGCAAGAAAAGCUUUUCUGUGCUUUUCUUUAAGGACACCAAAGGUCAAGGGCCUGGUGAGCUUUUGUGAGGCCUCUUAAGCCAGUUGUUUCCUUGUUCUAAGUCACUCUGCUCUACUUCCUGCAGGGCAUUCAAGCCUGGACUCGCUGAUUGGAAUAGAGCUAGGGAAGGAGGAAACAGAUGGAUGGGCCCAAUUACUUUACAAUUUUUUACCUGUUCCCUGCCUCAGGCUCCUGCUUGCUCCAUACACAAUUUACACCCCCUCAUCUAACCCCAUAAUGGCUGGGUAAGGUGGCAAUUAUUAACCCAGUGGUUAUUCUCAGAAUAAAAACUGAGGCUCCAGCUCCUCAAGCCUCAGUGAUUGCCCAAGAUCUUAGUGCAAGAAUAUGAAUCCAGGUCUGCCAGUAUCUCAAGGUCAUGACCUUGCACCCUGACACCCCCCUCCCCCUGAGAUAAUACGGACAGGCAAGCCAGACAGUGGAGAGAUCACCCUUCUCUUGGACAUGAUGGCAGCCAAUCAUGUCCUUUCUAGGCAACAAGUGUAUAGAGGAUUUGAUCCACAUGCUUCACCUGGUCCUUUCAAGCAAAGAUCCCCUCCUCCUGGGAAAUCCCACCUGCCUCCUUUAAUCAGGCUGUGGACUGCGGCGGGGACAGCAUGUGUGGGGAGGCCAUAGACUCUGUCUCCACAGAGCGGCUUCAGAGUCCUCUCCCCCUCCCCCGUUGACCUGUCUAAUGUGAGCUCUUCUAUGAGAUGGCUCUUUCCCCAGCCUCCGGAAUAAAUGAUUUGUCUUUCCUAUGAUUUGCCUGCAUCCCACACAGAGACAGUCAUCCCGGAGCCCUCUCAGGGAGCAUCUUGCCCCCUGACACAUUCACUCUCGAGUGCCAGGUGCCCCUGGAGUGGCCCUCUUCUAUGUGUCUGCCCCUCCAUCUAGGCCCCAGGAGUGUUGCUCUCUGCUUCCCUGGCGUGACCGCUCUGUCUGGGUGACUGAAGCACACGUACCAAGAGUGCAGAUCAAUAAACGAGGAAAGCUGCCUGGGGAGGUGCUGCUCCUCCGUCUCCUACAGCUGACUGAUGAGCUACGAGCCCCAGCCCCUCCCUUCUGUGGACAGAAACCCUCAUUUGCCAAUUCAUGGUUCUACAGCACAUUCCAAUUCAAAUGAUUUCUCUUGGGUGAGGGUCUCUCUGUGGCAAAUGCUCAGGGUUGCUUUGUUUUUGUUUUGAGAUGGAUGUCUAGCAAGGUUGCCCAGACUGGCCUCCAAUCCUGGACCCUUCUGUCUCAGCCACCUGAAUAGCUGGGAUUCCAGGUGUACGCCUUUGUGCCCGGCCCACACGAGGGCCUUUUGGAGCAUCCCUGACACCCACUGUUCAGUGAUUGCUUAUGACUCAGUCCCAGUCAUAUCCCCAUAGAUUCUGAUCUCUUUUUCCUGCCCUGAGACUCUGAGGCUCUCCAGGACCUUUAGCUGCAUAGAUUUAUCUCUCUGGCCAUUUCUGUACUGAGAAACUGCUGUGACUCCAUUUUUGAGAAACCAGCCUCUACCUCAGAGCAAAGCCUGUCCAAGGAAGGGGGCGUGACCCUUGUCCUUGGAAAAACCCACAGAGCACUAAGCACAUACCCACCCUGCUGAGUUGUUUGUCUACAAAUAACAGGAGAGAUCUGCUGCACCAGGUGUCCCUGACUCAGUCAGGCUAGGUGAGGACCCAUAGCAACCCCCUAGCAACCACCAAUCAGCAUGAGACAGAGAAAAUACUUGGGAUGCCAGAUGACCCCUCAGUAGUUUAUGGUGGUUGAUAACAUGUUGGGAAACCAUGUAGUUUAGCACGUACAACCCUUGUGGCCUAAACCAAUCAGUUCAAAGUAAUCUCCCUCUUGUACUAACCAAUCACCCCUACCUAACUUGUUCCUGCCAGUGAAUGUACAAAUCAAUGUUAAGAGUUGUUGUUUGACUUUUCCACGGUAUGGAAUGAUUUGCUGGGUGAUGAUGUGAUGCAUAGAAUAUCCCCCCAAAACUGAACAAAGGACCAGGACUCACUCCCUGGGACCACUGCGUUGGGAAUGGUUGUGAGUCCAGUCUCGAGCUUGCAAUAAAGACUCUUGUGUGAUUGCAUCAGAUUUGGCUCCUGGAGGUCUACUGGGGUCCCAGGAAUCUGGCAUAACAGUACCCCAGUGCUGUUCCUCUGCCCCUCUUCUUGCUGGAUGCAACCCUUAUCCCAACACAGAGCUCCCACUAGGGCUCCAGAUAGGAAAGAGGGCCACAGACCCUACAUUUUGAGCUGUCCCCUUACCCGAGCUAGUAUGGUACUCCUUUGGCCCAGAGGAUGUGUUCAAGAUGGUGCCUGGGACUUCCCAUGUCCCUUGCCUCUGUCCACUCUCUACCCUCUUCACUCUCAAUUUCCUUCCGCUCCAAUCACAUAUAAUACAAUGAAACUCGGGGACCCAGUCCUCCAGGCCUGGUUCUGGAUGAAUUAACAUGUGCUUACAUUAUGUAGAAAAUGCUUUUCUGUCUAGGCAAAACUUACUACCUUGCUUCACGCCAAGGAAUCUUUUUUUUUUUUUGAUGUUCACAGCUGAAUACUGACUUCCUCCUGCUCUUUGCAGCAUCCCUACUCCUCUCUGAGCAAACAGAUGCCCCUGGCAGAAGAGGAGGGAGGUGACACCAAGGGAGUGACACCAUGGGAAAUUCACACAAAUGGCGUGCAGCAGAUGUCACCCAGUCCACUUGCUGAUGACAGAGGCAAGCUUGUGUGAAUCUGUGAGUUCUGUCCUCUCAACCCCAUGGACAUAGAGCUCGUUCUUCAUUGUAUUUUUUUUCUCUAAAGAACUUUUAUUUCCCCACAUUUUUUACUGGUGCGUUAUAAUUGUACAUCAUGAUAGGAUUUGCUGUUACAUAUUUGCACAUGCACACAAUAUCACAAUAUAAUUUGGCCAAUAUCACUCCCUCCCCUCCCCUCCCUUUCGGGUAUCUUUCUUCUACUGAUCUCCCUUUGAUUUUCAUGAGCUUCCCAGCCCCCCACCCUUCUUUUCCUUCUUCUCUAGCUUCUGCAUAUGAAAGAAAACA